This 854-nucleotide long non-coding RNA is filed under the name Numida meleagris (helmeted guineafowl). RNAcentral's name for it is "lncRNA (ENSNMEG00000018834.1)". Lineage: Eukaryota; Metazoa; Chordata; Aves; Galliformes; Numididae. The record is from RNAcentral.
AUGAUGUGCAGCAGCUGCCCUGCUGGGUCACGUGCUCGUGCAGUACUGUGCUUGUCACCUGGGCAGCCAUGCUCAGCAUCUGCGUGGCCCUUGCACAGAGAGGCUGUUAGCAUGUCAUCUUCCAUACCUGUGAUUCAGGAGGACAUGACAUACAAUAAGCUUCUUCUGGCCUUCUCUCAGGAACUUUAUGCUAUUGCCUUGAACUUCAACAGCAUAGAAUCUCUAAUGGCUGCAGAUGUUUCUCCCAGAGCAUGGUAUGGAGGCUUGGAGCAAGACGUCUUUCCCACAGAUGGCAAAGUGUCAAACGAGUUCAGGAGAUGAAAAAACAAACAAAAACACCUACCUGAGAACUUUCAGUGUUCCUCAUCCAACAUUUGACCUGAGAUUUUUUCUAGGCUGAACCUUGAAUCCUGAAACUCCCUGCUAAAGCUUUAAGGACAGAUAAUAAGGUAAGUUUUUUCACAGUGCCAAGCAGUUAAAAACAGGCCUCAUCACAUGCUCCAAUGCAUUUUCUACAAAGGUUUGUCUCAGUUCAGAGGCAAGUCUGCCACUCAGUUCUUGGAAGACAAGAACUACUUUUCUCUAUCAUGGCAAAUUAAUCACUAGUCUUCAGGUACCUUUUCCUCUUGUUGAAGUGGAAGUUCUUACCUCUUCCUUUGCUGUUCUAUAUCUGGCAGAGCCAGGUGUGGUACACUGAGUGACAGCGUUGUCUUAUACCCAUAUGUGUCAGUGUCUCUCUAUGAUUCAACCACAAACAUAAAGAAAAAUAACUUUAGGCUAAUUUUCAUGAUAAAUCAACCAAGAGUGCCAGAUGUCUUAAUAAAAACUUGAAUGAAGCUGCUACUGUUUCCUCU